UUAAUAGUGCCCUCUGAUGCAAAUCAUUGGGUUAGAUCUGCUCUCUUCGCAAGAAGAGGGUUUCCAUACACACCGUGAACUGUGGCUUCGGCCAUCACAAACUGUUAGUAAUGAAUGUAAUAUCAUAACAAAAACAAAACUUUUAACAACGGAUCUCUUGGCUCUCGCAUCGAUGAAGAACGCAGCGAAAUGCGAUAAGUAAUGUGAAUUGCAGAAUUCAGUGAAUCAUCGAAUCUUUGAACGCACCUUGCGCCCUUUGGUAUUCCGAAGGGCAUGCCUGUUUGAGUGUCAUGAAACCUCACCCCACUUGGGUUUUUGCCUGAGCGGUGGUGUAUUGGGUGUUGCCUUGCUAAAGGCUCGCCUUAAAGACAUAAGCACCUUGGAUGUAAUACGUUUCAUCCUUCUGGGUGGCUGAUAACCCCACAUAUUCAUGAUCUGGCCUCAAAUCAGGUAGGGCUACCCGCUGAA
This 468-nucleotide ribosomal RNA is filed under the name Naganishia vaughanmartiniae. RNAcentral describes it as "eukaryotic LSU rRNA". The stretch from base 138 to 291 matches the Rfam family "5.8S ribosomal RNA". The record is from RNAcentral. Lineage: Eukaryota; Fungi; Basidiomycota; Tremellomycetes; Filobasidiales; Filobasidiaceae.